Oncorhynchus keta (chum salmon) is the source of this 3440-nucleotide RNA transcript. RefSeq lists it as uncharacterized. Lineage: Eukaryota; Metazoa; Chordata; Actinopteri; Salmoniformes; Salmonidae. The record is from RefSeq and is a predicted model, not a curated record. The transcript is spliced from 4 exons.
CAGUAAGAAUUCCGGCUCUCACAGACCUGUUAGUUUUUCUUUAAGAAGCCCUCCUGUUCUCCACUCAUUACCUGUAUUAACUGCACCUGUUUGAACUCAUUACCUGUGUAAAAGACACCUGUCCACACACUCAAUCAAACAGACUCCAACCUCUCCACAAUGGCCAAGACCAGAGAGCUGUGGAAGUACAUCAGGGGUAAAAUUGUAGACCUGCACAAGGAUGGGAUGGGUUACAGGACAAUAGGCAAGCAGCUUGGUGAGAAGGCAACAACUGUUGGCGCAAUUAUUAGAAAAUGGAAGAAGUUCAAGUUGAUGGUACAUCACCCUCGGUCUGGGGCUCCAUGCAAGAUCUCACCUUGUGGGGCAUCAAUGAUCAUGAGGAAGGUGAGGGAUCAGCCCAGAACUACACAGCAGGACCUGGUCAAUGACCUGAAGAGAGCUGGGACCACAGUCUCAAAGAACCAUUAGUAUCACACUACGCCGUCAUGGAUUAAAAACACAGAGUUUGAUCAUGUGCUGACAGAGAGAGAGGGAGGAGUUUGGGGAGUGUUUAAAAUGAGAAGAGUAUUUUUUUUUCUCUCAUAGCCUGCAUUUCACUUUGAGCUGACAAGGAGAUGAGCAUUCUAGAGUGGUGAGGAGUGGUUUCAUGUAUAUUUAUGAGUAUCAAUUAAGCAGCCAGAAGCAUUGUACUUUCUUUAUUGCUUAAGGGAUUGUGUUAAGUUUUUUUAUUUACUAUUAUUUCCCUUUUCAAUAGAAUAGAAUAGUAUAGAUGGCUCCAGUGCGCUCAUGUCCAAUAUGCUAUAAGGUUGUGAUUGGCUUCAGUCAGCACCUUAGGUAUGUACACCAUGUGAGGAAAGGGUACUCCUUUGUAGGUGGCAGUUGGGCCGCAUCAAUGUCAGGCAGGAGCAGUGUCCAGUGUCAGGAUGCUCCAAACGUCUUAGCAGAUUAGACCGGUAUAUAGACUCCCACUCAGAGCUCAACAGAGCACAGAGGAGACCGGUUUUAGAGGACCUUAGGAGACGGCUGACGAUGAAGAGGCUGGCGGUGUUGAGGGCAUCGAUCCCUGCCAUCCCAAUGGCGACAGAUUUAGAUAUUGUGGAGACUGUAAGGAAAGAAGAAGAGGAGGAAAUGUUAUGUUCACCUACAGAAGCAGAGGAGGAAGUGGACUGCAAAGAGGAUUCCUGCCACUGCCAUGCACCAAUCCUGAGACUGAAAAAAGCUGUGCAAGAGAGGGAUGAAGCACUGCAUACAAGAAGUGAGACCAACAAAUCCAUUAAAGAGGACGACCUGAAGUUGAUCUCUGAUCUGCAAAGGGUGAGGAAGAAGUACCAGCUGCUGAAAAGGCAGAUGGGGAUUGGCAUGGUGAAGGCCCUCAACUUUCAGGCAGAUUCAGACACAGACACAAAGCAAGAGGAGCAGGACCAAGCUACAGGUACAGGGGACCAGAGAGAGGAGCCUACAGUGUCCGGAUCUAGCUGCAAACUCAUCUUCCCGGGCUCUGCUAUGAGUGUGUUUAUCGAGGGAUUCAGGAAGACCUGUGAGGGCCCUAAUCCAAAUUAUAAGCUGAGUGAAAAUUGUGCCUCAAAGAUGGGUUCAAUUCCUCCAGAAGAACAAGCCAAUCACCACAGUCAACCAUUACACCUUGACUAUUGGUGCAUUUCUUAAAUAUUCUGAGGAGACCCCUCCACCUGGCUGCCGGUUGACCGUGAACCAAUGGAGGGGGAUCAACCGGUUGAUGAAGGGCAUUAGCAAGUCCAUGAGACGACCAGUUUCCCUUCACCAGGUAAAGGUGAAGGACAACAAGGAAGGUAAGGUGGUGUCCAAAAAGAGCCUGCUCUGGAGUGCCAGUCUCUUGCCAAGGCAAAAAUCCCUCAAGUGCUGAGUAAGUUUUUCUCAAUCUGUUAUGUCACUGUUUUUACACACUUAUAGAAGUCAGAGAUGUAUAGAAUGCAUUAUGGAGUGGGAUUAUGAAGCUGCCUUUUUUUAUUUUCAUGUUCACAGAAACAUUGGAAGAAACAAGGACACAGAGGAAUCAGUACCGGUUUUAUGGGUACCUGUGUACCUACUUUACAUCCAUAUACGGCCACAGACCAGGCCUAUAUAAAAACAUGUUGGUGGAGGAGGCAAAAUGUGACCAGUCUGGGGUGUAUCUGAUCAAUGUGGGGGAACACAAAACAAAUCGGGAGUACGGCAUGGUCCAGAUGUCGCUGACGAAGGAGGAGUACAGUUGGUUUUCUGACUUCCUCAAAUUCAAGCACUGUCUCUUAGGGGGAAAGAAGGCCCAGCACUUCUUUUUCAAUUCCACAAACACUCAGAUGAAGAACCUGCCUGCCUACCUGAGGGAGGUGUGGAAGGAGAUGGGUCGACCGCCUUUGACAGGUCAAUAAACAAGGCAGCACAGCUCUUUUUAGCAUCCAACGCAUUGACAAGAUACUUAACAACUAGCCUGGUUACUGUGGUAGCACUAUGCCCAGGCCUAAACCCUGAUUGGUUUAUACUAUUAAAAAUAACAUUAUUAAAACAAAAGGAACGAAGUCGUACAUUAAAUAAGGAUUCAAUAAUCUUAGCUGAAGAAGGUAGUCUUGAAAUGGGGCGAUAGUAAACUAAAAACUACAAACUACUCUUUUCAAGAGCUGCCUUUGAAACACAUACAAAUAUAAAGCCUGCAGAGAUAAAACUGUGAUUAAAUGUAUUAAUGAUACCAAUUUUAUCAGCAAUAGAGACAGAAUCUAAAUUAAUUUAUUGGGGGAGAAAGGAGGAGACACGUCAGUGAUACAAAUACACAUACACUUCCGCUCUCAUAAUGUGCUGCUACUCUGUUCUUAUUGUAAUACAAUUAUCUAUCCUGAUGCUUAAGUCACUUUACCCUGCCUUUAUGUACAUACAGUAUCUACCUCAAAUAUCUCAUACCCCUGCACAGUGAUAUGGUAUUCCCUGGUUAUUCCAACUCUCCCACAAGGCUUUUAGGGGUUAAUGGCAGAGGCUAAUGCAGCAUCCCGCAAUGCUUGCAGUUCUACCUGCAGUUACUGCUGAUGGACUGAGCAAUGUGCUCAACAAUGCUUACCAGUGGGUUAAAAUGGAAUAUUAUCGAAUAUAUUAAAUGGUGUAAUGUGUUUGUUAAACACUAAUAUUUGUGGUUUACAUAGUAUUUGUUACAUCAACUCAUAUUUAAUCAUAUGAGUAAAUCCAACACAUUUUUAAUGGCUAAUAUUAAUUCUUACUUUAUUGUGUAAACUCAAAGAAUGUAUUACUUUUUUUAAUCUCAAAAACAUAGGGCAUUACAUGUACUCAAUAAUACCGUAUGUCAUUUUGUUAGAUUUUUUAAAAGUAGAUUAAACACUUAAUUUGUUACUCUUUCCCCGUAUUUCACAGAUUUUUCUCUCUACAAUAAUGCUGUAAAAUGUAACAUUAUGGUAUCAUUAUACCCCAUUAAAGUGUGU